This 339-nucleotide long non-coding RNA is filed under the name Panax ginseng (ginseng). RNAcentral's name for it is "long non-coding RNA (PGIN_LNC014122)". Lineage: Eukaryota; Viridiplantae; Streptophyta; Magnoliopsida; Apiales; Araliaceae. The record is from RNAcentral.
GUCAACCGAUAUAUUGUAAAGAUCUGGUAUCCGUUCAAUUUGAAGGUGGAUAAUUCCCCUGGUCACUGGCCUUGUUUGCUAGCGGGUAAGAUGGGUCGGUGGAGGGUGGUGAUGAGUUUGAGAGGAGAGUAUGGAGGAGGAGUUUCAGAUCUGAGGUGGAAUCGGAGAAGUGAGGCCGUACGGUGGAGGAGGGGAUUAGUGAUGAAUUUGGGAGGGGGUUUGAGGGAGGGAUUUUCAGAGGUGGAAUCGGAGAAGUGAGGCGUCAGUACGGUGGAGGGGGAUCGUAUUGAAUUUGGGAGGAGAGUUUUGAGUUGCGAGUGUGAGAGCGGUGAAUCGGGC